AUCUAUUGAUCUCAAUCUUAAUUUCUAGAAAUCACAAUAAAGUAUAAUGAGUAUAAAAUUCAAUAAGCAAACUAGUUUUUCAUAUACAUACUUAUAAAUAAUGUAGAAAAUACAAGAUAAAGUGAGAAUUAUAGCAAAUGGAGCUCAAAUUUGGAUUCAGAGCUAUCAAAUUAGGGGGAAACCCUCUAUUUAUAGAUACAAUGGGUAAAUGAUGGCCAUCAGAUGAAAACAAUUCAUACGCUCAAGAUUGCGCCACGUGGCAAGUUUUGAUUGACUAGAAUGCAUCAUCAGUCAACACUACAUCAGUGUUUCAGUCCAAUAAGAUGCUGCCACAUCAUUAAUCAACACCACAUUAGUAUUACAGUCCAAUAGCAUCUUGCCACAUUAUUGGUCAACGCCAUAUAAUCAGUCAAUGCCACAUAAUCAGUUAAUUCUACAUCAUUGGUCCAAUAGAAUGUUGUCACGUCAUCGGUCAAUGCCACAUCAUCGUGCCAUAUAUGUGAACAGUGCCAUACUUGUGAAUAGUACCGUAUACUUGAAUAAUAUUGUAUAAGUGAACAAUACCAAAUACCUUUUUGUGAUCCUAAAGUUUUCGACUAUUCCGAGUUAAAAAAUGCCAUCCGUUUUGCUGUCUGAUUUCUUGUUAGUCAUGAAAUGGCCAAAAUAUCUCAAAAAUACUUAAAUUAUAAUAAAACACGCAUAAUAAAGUCUUAGAUGAUUUAAACACAUAAAAGUGGAAAUAUUAGUGAGACUUGGAGUAUAAAAUGACAAUUUUACCCCGUAUAAAUAUGCAUUCUUCACUACUCAACACACCUCCCAAUCAGCUUAUUACUAUUUACUGGUCCUUAGCAAAUUAAGCGAUAAAAUCUAACAAAAUUCAAAUUGAAACAUGCUUACCAAAUAAAUGAACUUUUUGAAAAAUUGUAUUCUUCCCAUUUGCUACUCAACAAUUAAUAAAAAAUUCAGCUACCCAUCUUUAGUGCUUAGUAGUGUUUAACAAAAUGAUUAUGGGGUUUGGUCAAAAUAAAGCAAUACUUUCAUUCUUACCGUCUCAUUGGAGUUUCUUCCGUAGGUAGCAAGUUUAUUUAUAUUAUAUCUCUAACCUACUCUAACUGUUUUAUGCGAAUACUCUCUACUUGCUAAGACAUGAGGCCCGAUUACUAAGUAAGAGUUCGCACAAUCUUGAUCAGCUCUCACUGUUUGACAUGAAUAUUCUCUGCUUACUAAGGCAGGAGACCCAUUUACUAAGUGAGAAUGUCUUUUUUUUUUCUUUUUCUUUUUUGGUAAAAUGACCACUACCUUUAGGUGUUGCUCACAAAUGAAACGAAAUGAUUAGGUAUUACAAAAUCUCAACUUACCACCAUCAUCACUUUUCGUGUGUGUGUAUCUAGAUUGGUUUGUUGGAUCACUUAAGAUGGCCAAUGUAGACAAAAAGGGUUAGCCAAUAACAUUAGAAAAUUUUCAAAAAUUUAGUUUUUUUUACUACUAAAUGCCUAGACUAGGAAGAUGUGUUUAUAGAGUAACUAAACAUCAUAUUCACCCAUCUUUGACUAAAAAAUUUAGAAAUAAUUAGUAAAAAUACGGAAGCACAACUAUUUUUUAUUCUACAUUUGUCAACUAUUCACUCCCCUCCAAUUAGAACGAAAUAUUGUCUUCAAUAUCUUGAAAGAAAGAAAUAGAAUUUAGAAGAUAUCACCUGAAAAUUGUAAUAGAAAAUAUUUACAAACGGAGAGUUAAAUUUAAUUUGUACUUUUUACUACUAUCGCUACUAUCAUUAGUCGACUAAUCCAAUGUAAGAGUCUUUGGAUCUAGAUCUGGUUCUAAUAUGUAAACUUUUAAAAGAUCAAGUAACUCAUUAGUAGUAAGAUCACAAAUAUAACUCGUGGCUCAUUUAUUCAAAAGCAAACAGUAAAAAGAAACAAAUAGUGAUUAGAUAGAAUCACACCAUUAAAAGCAAUAAUGCAAACAAUAAAUCAAAAGGAUAUGUACUGGUAGUUGUGAUUGUAGCUCAUAUCUUCCUCUGAUUUUACGUUUAGAAAUGACUUGAACGCCCUCUAUGGGUCGAGGAUAUGCUUCCCAUCCAGUUUUCUUAUAAACUAGCCAACAUGGUUGUUUACAGUCAGAAACCUAAGACUGUAUCGUGCACAUUCUUUUUAGAAUAAUGGUCAUAAGUAGGAAAUUGCACGCUGUACAUAUCUACUGAGAUGCGUUUCAAGAGAUAAAAAGAUAUCAUCCAAUGACUUAUUAUUCAAGCCAUCCCUAAUGAAUUUAAUCUUAUCUUCCUUUUUAUUAGACAUCAUUCCCAAAGAAGUGCAUGAUUUUUUUCUAGCAUUGCAUUCUAGAACACUUGUGACAAGAAAUUGGUAGCAGUGCAACUCUUCGUUUUCUUGCAUAAUUUUCUUUCCCAUAACUAGGCAUAUAAGCAACAUAUUUAAAAGGUAAUUCCCCUGUUAAUCGUACUUUGGCUUCAAUUAACCAACAAAUGUCGAUAGAGAUGUUAUUCUUCACGAGUAGGCACAUACGUUCGGACCAAACUUUAUAAAUUGUGAGAAGUGCAUUUUGAGGAAGAGAGGGAAAUUGCUUGCAAAGCUUUGCAAGAGAUGUGUUCUUAUCCAUACCUUGGCUGGAGAAUAUCAGUUAUUGUGGAAAACUAAAAGAACCAACUUCAAUAGUCAUGGGGUACUCUUAUCCACCAAUUAAUCGGGCUGACAAAUGAUAAAAACACAUGUGAAAGCAAACAAAAAAUAAAAACCCACUAUGUAGAAAGUGGGAUGUUAACUCACCGUCAUCCUCUUAUUGAAUUUACCUUAAGUUCUAAUUGGAUUUCAUAGAUACCACCUUUUAUUUCACUGAGUUAUCUUUGUAGAUCUUCAACAUUGGAUAUUAAUGUUGGUGGUCGUAGAUCCUAAACAGGAUGUGAUUGACAACAUUAGGUGACGCUUUACACAUAGAAGUCACUUGAGGUGAUUGAAGAGGAUUUGUCUCACUGAGCUACUCAUGAUUUAUAACACAAGUGAUGAGAGAGAUUUAUAUCACAAGUGACGAGAGAGAAAAUAUAAUUGUUAAAUAACACACUUUAUAGGAAACAAACAAAUUAAUUAGUAAAGAAAAAAUAAAAAAAAUUAAAUCACCGAAAAAAAUGAAAAUAGUUUUAGUCCAUAUUUGGUGGGUCACUUACAUCUAUUGCGCUGUUUUCUCCAUGUGGUUGGUACUCGUGAUAUGACUUUAUAUCUCUGACUAUUAACUUUAAAAAUUACACUAUUAUUUGGAUUCUUAAGUUUAAUGGCCCCAUAUGGAAAAAUAAUGUGGACAAUAAAUGGACUAGACCAUCGAGAGUGAAUUUUACCUAGGGAGACGUGCAAGCGAGAAUUGAAUAAAACUACUUUAUGACUUAAUGUGAAUGAUUUUCUCAUAAUUUGCUUGUCAUAAAAGACUUUCAUCCGCUUUUUGUAAUCCUUAGCAUUUUAAUCAUUGUGAAGCCCCUCAAGUUCUACCAACUGUAAUCUCUUUUUUGAACAACAAAUGGGGUAAAUAAUACCUGCAUUGUUUUGCUUGUCGUCAAGGUAGGAUGAGAUGAUUUCUGCCAAUUGUUUUCUUCUCCCAAGAAUGCAUGCUCUAAAAUGUUAGGUAACGGAUUGUGCAUGAAUUUUGGUGAUGAUUCCGAUGAUGGGAUAAAAUUUUCCUCUGAUGGUGUCAAUUGCUCUAUCAUUGACUUCCAGUUGUCAAUAUCCAUACGUGCUAAUGAAUGCAGUAAGGCAUUGACUUGAUUAAUUGAUUUGUUAUUAUUAAAAUUCAAAUCAAAGUGAGUUAAACAUGUUUGUAGAAGGUCAUCACUGAGGUUAAAAUGACAAGUAUGAUAAAUUAAUUCUUCAAUUAAAUCCACAUCUACAAUUCCUUUGUCUUUAUGAGGGGUUUGCUUGACAAUGUUAAAGAUAUUCAACGCCAUGGUCAUGUUGCCAAACGACAACUACAUAUUUCUAGUCCUGCAUUGAAUGUGUGCAUCAACAGUUGCCAAGAAAGGUCGACCUAAGAUAAUGGGGAUGUGGUUCUUCAGAUAUUACACUAGUUGAGUAUCAAUCACAAUGAAAUCAACGGAAAAAUAAAAUUUGUCUACUUAAAUAAGUACAUCCUCCAUAAUACUGCGAGGUAUUUUCAUGGAUUGAUCUGCAAGUUGCAAUGCAACUGGAGUUAAGUGUAAUAUUCUCAGUCCAAGUUUCACAAACACUGAAUAAGAUAAAAUAUUUACACUAGCUCCUAAAUCCAACAAAACAUUGUCAAAUGUGUGAUUCCUUAUGCUAUAUGAGAUGUCAGGGCAGUUUAGGUCGUUGUAUUUUGAAGGAACUUUAUGGUGGAGUAUAGAACUAAAAUUUUCUGUUAAAAAUGCCUUCUUUUGAACAUGAACAAUUCUUUUUUUAGUAUAAAAAUCUUUGAGAAACUUGGUAUAAGAGAACACUUGUUUAAUAGCAUCAAGCAAAAGGAUGUUAAUAUUGACAUGUUUAAAGAUUUCAAUAAUAUCACCUGUGGUAUUUCCCUUCUUUACUUUAGCUAACCCUGAAGAAAAGGAGCUUUGGGGAUGUAUUUUCGUGGGUUGUUUUCUUCUUUCUCCUUUUAUGGAGAGUCUUCAAAGUCUAAGGAUACAACUUGAGUUGUUUUUGUCAUCGACAUUUCUACUUUAUUGUCAACUUUUUUGCCUUUUCGCAGGAUCAUGACGGCUUUGACCUCUUCAAAAUGUUGGGAUAAACUUGUACUCACUUCAUGCACUCUUUUAGGAUUAGGCACUGACUAGCUUAUGAAUUUUCCUUUUUCGACCAUCAUCGCCAAGGUUUGAAUUGAAAAAGUAAGUUCGCCCACCUUCUUUUCGAGGUUCGAAAUUGAUUGGGCUUGUGAAUUGAAGCCAAAUCUUAAUUGAUUGGUGUUGUGAAUUGAAGCCAACUCUUAUUUCAUUCCGCAGCUCACAAUUUUAUGAUUUUGUUGUUCUAUUGUGGUGUGAGUAAAAUUUUUUAGACUUUGGAAUGCCUUCUCCCAUGGUUUGACUUGUGAGUGGUUCUAGUUCUAAUUAUAUGGUCUAAUGGUAGUUGAGAUACUUGAAGAGUUUGAUGAACUUGUUGCAUUGGUGGAGCUGGAGCUGUUGUUCCGUUCUGUUAGAAUCCUUGAGACCACGAAAAGUUGGGAUAGUCUCUCCAUCUAGGAUUAUAAGUAUCAGAGUAAGGCUUGUAGUUUGACUGCUUUCCUAUCACAUUUAUGACAUUGGCUUGAUCUGGGUAUGAAUCAUAGUCAAAUUGGUUGUAGGCUUAUGACUCUGUUGACUUGGUAGUCGUCAACGAUGCUAUUUAGCAAGAAAGUCCUUCAAUUAUAUUUUUGACUUAUUUGAUUUCUGAUCUUGACUCGCCAAAAUGGAUUUCAUUUACUUCCUUGAUUCUUCUCAUAUUCCUAAAUGAUCGACUCUGCUAUUGGGAAUUACUAGCUUGUCGCUGGAAGAAAUUCAAAAUCUUAGAAUAAAAAAAAUACUAAUACAAGCAAUUCCUUACUUGAAAAGUUUGAUAUCACAUUUCAGAAUAAAAAUAAACAAAACAAAAGUUUCAUUACCCAAAUUCACAUGAACAUCAUCACCAACUUUGGUACCACAGAAUAAGGAUUCCCCUAAUUCCGCCGAGCCCCUUCACCUAUAAAAUUCUGCAACCCUCUUAGAAAAUGUAGAAGCAAAAUAAGUUUUUGUCUUGGCUGACAAUUCUAAGCAGCCCUAUAUAUGUUCUUGUACGUAUAAUACCAACAAACGCAUGAGAAGAUUUAUCAGACUUUUUGAAAUAUAUUUUAAGACUAAUAGGACCAUGAAUGUAAAUACCAACAAGAGCAUCGAAGGAAAAAGAAAGAAACACCACCAACCUCAAGAAAAUCUCUAUGCAUCUUUUCCUCUGCUACAAUAGCUUUAUCAAGAAUUCCACCUGAUGUUGCACUAGUGAAAAAAUUAUAUUCUAUGACUAAAUAAUUGGUACCUUUAAAGUUUACAGUUAACUAAAUUACUAAUGACGCUUAGGAGAUUCUCUCCACAAAUGACGAUUAAGAGAUUCUCUCCACAAAUUAUUCAAGAAAAAAUUACUAAUGACAAUUAACAGAUUCUCUCCACAAGUUAUUCAAGAAAUUUUUGCAGAUAAUAUCAAUUAGAUUUUGCAACAUUUUUUUAAUAUUCUUUUCAUUCCUACUGAAGUAUCAAACAAUACCAGCCACAAUGCAAACUCAUGGCAUUACUUGAGUAGUAACUUAACCAUUUGUCACAAGUUGUACAAGACUCUUCAAUCCAAAAGAGGGCUGAAUUGUAGACUAAAACCUAGGCCUAUUAUUAAAAGCCCAAAAGUGCACUAUUAACUAGAUUUGUAAAUUUCUUGAAUGCUAAAACUAAAAAGUUCAUUCAUAUGAAGUUAUAAGUUUUGGCCUCACUGUUCUACUCAUCCUUAUCUCGCUUAAUUUAGCUGAUUAAUAGAGCAGGUUCUAGAACACAACAAAUGUUUCUAAAAAUUGAUAAAUGACAAAAUUCUACAAUGAAUUAUUGUAAUACUAAGACACAAGAUUACCCAGAAAUGUAACAGAACUUUUAACAAACACAUGGAAUGCAAAGCCUAGAUCUAACAAAUGCAAAAAACAAAAAAAAAUCAUUAUGCAAGAGUUGGAAAAAUAUCUUAAUUAUAUUGUAUUUAGAUUUAUAAUCACACAUUGAAUAAGAGAAACAAUCAAACAAAACAAUAAUAUUGCAAAAAGACUUGAAACCCACAAAAAAAUCAUGCUUAGGGUUUCAAAGAGAUGAGAAUCGUGAAGCUCAUGUCGAAGAUAGUUGAGAUAACUACGAAGUUCAACAUCACUCACUAGAAAUCACUGAGAAAUAGGUAAAGCUUGUUAGCGAAUUAGUGUGAGUUUCUAGGAUUCUCGGUGGCUAGGGUUUGGGUUGUCGUCGACAGGUAAGGUUUGGUUUCAAUUUAAGACUAAAUUCAAUUCUGCUGUAGCAAAGAGAGACGACAACGGUUUACCGGCAAGCCAAUAACAGUGAGGGUUGUCAUUGUCGGUGAGGAGUGAGCUACGUUCGAGAUAGAAGCUUUAGAGUAGUGAGUGUGGUCUUAACAUGUUGAAAGAUUAAUAAGGGUAUGAAACAACG
Molecule: long non-coding RNA, 7144 nt
Filed under: Citrus x clementina
Lineage: Eukaryota; Viridiplantae; Streptophyta; Magnoliopsida; Sapindales; Rutaceae
Description: Citrus clementina (C. clementina) long non-coding RNA (CCLE_LNC001513)
Source: RNAcentral